UUAAACGAAAAUUUUCCUCCCGAUCAUUAUUAAGGCUUCUUUCAGUUUUGUUUUCUCCUCUGCUGGCUUUUUCACUAUCUCUGGGAUUGUAGGACAAGAAAACCCAUGAAUGGUGACCAUCGUUCUCUGUGACUCUCACGCUCAACAUAAAUCAAGGAAACUUGGCCCCUUGAUCCAACUCUCUGUCAGCCGUAAAGGAUGAACCCUAGCCUCUUUAAUGGUGAAUCAAUCUCUGUGAAUAUUGGAAUUGGAAAGUAAGACAAGAGAAAGAGAAUUGGUUGAUCAUUUUUCUCUCUCUCUAGGCAUCCUCCAAAGGUCUCAGGGUUAAAAAAUUAGGAUGAAUCUGAUCAUGGACAGAAGGUUAACAGUUGAUAUGGAGAUGGGGAGUAAUUUGGGUAAUAAUGAGAUAGAUACACCUAAGCAAAUGGGAACUCCUCUAAUUGAUGAUUAUAGAAUCGAUGAUUUUGGCUGCGACAAUGAAUUUGAUGAUACUAUUCUUGUAUAUGGUGAUAAGACUAGUGAGUUUGAUGUAGGCCAAGAUGCAUAUGAGCCUAUCAUCCUGGAGCCUCUAUCUUCUAAACUUUCUAAAGAUGUCUCACAAGAGGGUAUGCGGUUUGAGUCCCCUAAGCCGCAUUGGAUUUCUAUAACGAGUAUGCAAAAAAUUUGGGUUUCAUAGUUCGAUGUGCUUCAAGUCAUUGAUCAAGAAAAAAUCAAUCACUUAUCAUUCGUGAAUAUGUUUGCUCAAAAGAAGGUCAAUGACACAAUAAAUAUGAGGGGAAUCGAUCUAGGUCACCUACAAGGAUGAGGUGCAAAGCUAAGCUAAGAAUAAAUAAGGAUGAGUGCAGUAUAUGGUUUACGAAGUAUAAUAAAGAACAUUCUCACUUAUUGGCUUCACCAUAAGUUCAUCUCCUUUGUUCACAUCACAGAAUUCUCAAGCCCACAAGAGAAUUGAUCCAUAUAUAUAGCUUAUGUGGGUUAAGUGCCCAAAAGAUCAUGAAGGUGGUGAGUGCACAGGCUGGAGGUCAAAUGAGUCUUUCUUUCAUAGUGCAAGAUUGCAAGAAUGAAAUAUACAGAAAUCGAAAAAAUUCACAUUUGGUAGGCGGGGAUGUAGAGGGUUUGAUAGAGUUCUUUGCUGCUAAGAUUGAUGCAAACCUCCAUUUACAUACAUGGUACAAGUUGAUCAAGAUGGGCACCUAACAAAUGUAAUGUAAAAUCCAAAAUAGCGUGUGAUUUCUUUGGGAUGUCAUUAUAUUUGACACAACAUACAAGAACAAUGCCUAUAAAUUUCCAUGUGUCCCGAGUUUAGGAGUAAACCUUCAUAUGAGGACUAUCGUCAUAGGGUGAGCUUUGAUCCAGAGAGAGGAUGAGGACUAUUUUAUAUGGUUGUUUAUAAAGUGGGUUGAGGUGAUGACUACACGUCAACCCAAUAAAAUCAUAACUGAUCGACCCAAUACAAUCAUAACUGAUCGAUAUGAGGCAAUGGCCCUUGCUAUAAAGAAGGUCUUUCAUACUCUCGACAUCACUUGUGCAGAUGACAUAUUUUACAAAUAUUUUGAGCAGAAAAUAGGGCAUAGACAUCCAUCAUUCUGUUGGGACAUCUACAAUUGCAUCGGCCAUUGUACCACAAAUAUCGAAUUUGAAGCUGGAUGGUCAGGAAUGAUCGAAAGAUAUGAUGUAAAGAAUCAGGAAUGGCUUCAGCCCUUAUAUCAGAUCCAAGGUCAGUAGGUGGAUGUAUAUUUGCAAGAUUGUUUCUUUGCUGGAAAUUGGAUUAGUGGGAGAAGUGAAGUCAUGAACGAGGACAUGGCACACGUGAAUUCCCGUACCAACUUAACAAUUAAAAAAUAAUUAACAAAAUGGUUGAUGACGAAAAUACUCUAGACUUUGAAUCUCGCAGAAAAAUACUAGUUAUGAAGACUGCUAGUCGAAUAGAGAUGCAAAUGGCUCGAAUUUAUACCGUAUCUGUCAAUACUUUUUUCAGCCAGAGUUGGUGAAAGCCAUUGUUUUUAUUUGUGAAGUACAAGAGGGUGAUGGGUUUUGUGCAUUUUCAAUUUGCACAAAUAUGGGAUUCAGUAACUUGGCGCACAUAGUCCUACAGCCAUCUGUCAUUGGGUAGUAAUGGCAAUUUGUGCUUACCUAGUUGGUUGCACACUUCUCAUUUUUUUGGCUCCCCAAUUUGUCAUCCUUCAUUGUUAACCGUGUACAAUACCUGACCAGACCCAUUCACAGCCCUACAUAAGGUUUUAUGUAUGGAGAUCUUUUUCUCCAAUACUGGGAGCAUUUUGUUCAGGAUUGCAAGUGACCCUAAAUGGCGGAUAACUAACAGUCGAGGUGAAGUGGGUGAGGAGCAGUAGAGGUCUAUAGCUAUAGGGAGCACAAGAACCCUCAAGGGAGCAUGAGUAACAUCCAAGGCAAUGUCCCGAAGGAGUAGGAUUGAUUGGCUUAAUUUUUCAUGCCAUUACAUUUUUUAUUUCCCGGGGGAUGGCAUUGUAGGAGAAAUUUUGGUACCUUUUCAAACCCUUGUCUGUAUUGUCCACUUUUGAGCUACCUACUAUUUUUUGUCGUUUUGGUGAUCCACUUUUAAGCUACCCACCAUUUUUUGUCAUUUGGGUUUUUGGAUAGAGCACCUAGUUUGUGGGAUGCCUAAUCUUUUGUACUUAUAUAUUGACCAAGCUCAAACUACAAAAGAAAUUUUUUUGAAUUUCAUAACA
Molecule: long non-coding RNA, 2708 nt
Organism: Amborella trichopoda
Lineage: Eukaryota; Viridiplantae; Streptophyta; Magnoliopsida; Amborellales; Amborellaceae
Source: RefSeq, a predicted model, not a curated record